GAUUCUUCGCAUGAGCAAAGACUGAAGGAGCCCUGGGAAGGAGCUACUUACUGAAUUGCAGGAGUGCUGUAUUCAGGCAACUGACAAGAAGUUAAUGGCAUAUUUCAGUUUCAUUAUAGCUAGGGAGGUAUGUCUGGAUUUUUCAUAUACUCCCUGUCUCCUUUCCCAUUUGGACUAUUUUUGAACCUCAAAUCCAGCGAAAAUUGAUGAUGAGUGCCA
This 219-nucleotide long non-coding RNA is filed under the name Homo sapiens (human). Its description in RNAcentral is "long non-coding RNA NONHSAT216533". Lineage: Eukaryota; Metazoa; Chordata; Mammalia; Primates; Hominidae. The record is from RNAcentral.